This is a long non-coding RNA of Armigeres subalbatus, 625 nucleotides long. RefSeq lists it as uncharacterized. NCBI's taxonomy places the organism in Eukaryota, Metazoa, Arthropoda, Insecta, Diptera, Culicidae. The transcript has 2 exons. The record is from RefSeq and is a predicted model, not a curated record.
UAAACUCAGAAACUCAUUAAUGAGUAAAAAAGUACUCAUUCUGAGUUCAUGUAUGUAGCUGCCAGAAAAUGGGGAAAAUUUGACAACUUCAAAUGUGUAAAAAAACACCCAUUUUGAGAAUGUUGUUUCGGUUACAAAAUGAUUAUCUUUUACUCCUAAAUGGGUGAAAAAAUACUUAGGGGGUAAAUCCGAGCCCAUUAGAAAAUAAAGUGUUUUUACGCGUUAUAUUCCCCGUUAUAAUCUAUAUAUUUAAUUCAUUUUGAGUUGCUAGAACUUAAUAUUACGACCGUUAAAGACAUGGAGGAGUUAGUACGUGCAAAACAUCCAGAAGCCUCGGGAGCAACAUGAUGGUAACAUGGAACAACAUUAUAGUUCAGCACGGAGCCUAUUAUCACAUUUUCUACGAAAACCAAGGGGAAUGACAAGUUUUUCCAAGUCGAAACAUCCAGAAAAAAAGGCGGCACAUUCCACAAAAAAGACAACAAAACCCGCAUAAGAAAUGCCGCGAUUCUGUUCUGGAUUUUUAGACUUGGAAAAACUUGUGUAGUUGCCUUUGUCAAAAAUAUAUUUUAAUGUAAAUAUCCUUAAACAUUCUUCAUAUAAAUAAAUGUAUUUUUAAUGUUCA